Molecule: long non-coding RNA, 352 nt
Organism: Pogoniulus pusillus (Red-fronted tinkerbird)
Lineage: Eukaryota; Metazoa; Chordata; Aves; Piciformes; Lybiidae
Exons: 3
Source: RefSeq, a predicted model, not a curated record
CCCCUCCAGGGAAGGCAGAGCAGAAGGGAGCCUGAAGCCUCACCAGGGAGGAAUUGCAGUUGCUUAAGGUCCUCAGCUCUGAAACCUCAGGAAUCUACACCACCCUGCUCCAACCAAGCUGGAAGUUCAUCGAUGAAGCAUCAACCCUUGCUGGGCUUCUCCAAACGUCCAGAGUCACCCCAGCCACUUCUCAGCAGCACUCCAGUACCAAGGGGUGACCCCAGGGGCCAGCAGUGGGACCAGUCCUGUGCAGUGUAUCACAGGAUCACCAAGGUCUUCCAGAAUCCCAGCACCCCAGAAUGGUGGAGUUGGAAGGGACCCCUGAAGAUCAUCCAGCCCAACCCCCAUCCCC